RNAcentral lists this ribosomal RNA (270 nucleotides) under uncultured prokaryote. RNAcentral describes it as "partial 16S ribosomal RNA". It matches the Rfam family "Bacterial small subunit ribosomal RNA", at positions 355 to 617 of the family's 1533-position model. The record is from RNAcentral.
CUAAGAAUAUUCCGCAAUGGACGAAAGUCUGACGGAGCGACGCCGCGUGGAUGAAGAAGGCCGCAAGGUUGUAAAAUCCUUUUGCUGGGGAAGAAUAAGCGCAGGAGGGAAUGCCUGCGUGAUGACAUGAACCGGCGAAUAAGCCCCGGCCAACUACGUGCCAGCAGCCGCGGUAACACGUAGGGGGCAAGCGAUGUUCGGAAUUACUGGGCGUAAAGGGCGUGUAGGCGGGUUGGUAAGCUUGGCGUGAAAGACCGCGGCUUAACUGGG